Molecule: ribosomal RNA, 497 nt
Filed under: uncultured bacterium
Lineage: Bacteria
Description: partial 16S ribosomal RNA
Rfam family: Bacterial small subunit ribosomal RNA
Source: RNAcentral
GAUGAACGCUGGCGGCGUGCCUAAUACAUGCAAGUCGAGCGAACAGACGAGGAGCUUGCUCCUCUGACGUUAGCGGCGGACGGGUGAGUAACACGUGGAUAACCUACCUAUAAGACUGGGAUAACUUCGGGAAACCGGAGCUAAUACCGGAUAAUAUAUUGAACCGCAUGGUUCAAUAGUGAAAGACGGUUUUGCUGUCACUUAUAGAUGGAUCCGCGCCGCAUUCGCUAGUUGGUAAGGUAACGGCUUACCAAGGCAACGAUGCGUAGCCGACCUGAGAGGGUGAUCGGCCACACUGGAACUGAGACACGGUCCAGACUCCUACGGGAGGCAGCAGUAGGGAAUCUUCCGCAAUGGGCGAAAGCCUGACGGAGCAACGCCGCGUGAGUGAUGAAGGUCUUCGGAUCGUAAAACUCUGUUAUUAGGGAAGAACAAAUGUGUAAGUAACUAUGCACGUCUUGACGGUACCUAAUCAGAAAGCCGCGGCUAACUACGUG